Molecule: long non-coding RNA, 1277 nt
Organism: Monodelphis domestica (gray short-tailed opossum)
Lineage: Eukaryota; Metazoa; Chordata; Mammalia; Didelphimorphia; Didelphidae
Source: RefSeq, a predicted model, not a curated record
CCCGCGCCGUGUUUACUCGCUUUCUGGGUGUCAGACUCGCCGGGAAGGCUCGCUCCUAAUUAAAGGAGUAAGUGCUUUAAUCCCUGGCCUGAGGGCUUCCCAUGGAGCAUUAGCAGAAUUAAGAAGGAAAUGGAGUGUAAUCCCUUUAAUGUAAGCCUGCAGUUUCACAUUUCGGAGAAGAAUGUCCUUCGGUGAUUUCACGGCUAUUAACACGCCCAAUCUGCAUACAGUGUCACGCGGAGCAGCCCGAUUCGCCCUCUCUGCCGUAAUUAGCGGCGUGGGCAGUCCGCGGCAUCCUGGGACCUCGGGAGGCUGCGCUGGCGGGAGCCCGAGCGAGGGGACUUGGCUUGGGACGCGCAUCUUCCGACCACCAGCUUCCCCGGCCAGCCUCGGCCACAAAAACUAGAGCUGGUGAUUUUAGGCUGCUUUAAGGCCAUCAAAGCCCAGUGGCAGGACCAAAGUCAAGAUGACUGUUGAGGGCCCAGGACGUCUUUGAUGUCUGACCAGACUCUAAGUACUCCUCCAUGGCACUCCGCCACCUCCAUGGCCCUUUGAACCAAAUGUUCUCAUCCCCAUUCCACUGGGGAAGUCUUCACGCUCUCCGGGUAGAUGCCUUCCCAAAUCACGGAUGGUUUUAAGACCUGUCAGUUUACCUUUCACCUGGUUUAGCUACCAUAUUUUGGACUCUGUAAGCUACCUUCCUUUUGGAAUGAGAUCAGACAUGUCAAUUGAGGCAACAUCCAUAAAGUGCUUUGUAAGCCUUUGAGUUAUUUGAUUAUAUUAUGAUGUUAACAAUAUAUUUAUUAUCUUAAAAACAAUAAAUAUAAUAUUAUUAGUAACAAUUAUUGUUAUCGUACAUGAUUAUAGAUUAUAUUCAAUUAUAUAUCAUCAUAUUACUAUUAGUAUAAAUAGAUAAGUAAAUAUUAAACCAAAGGUCAGUAGAUUUUAUGUUUUUUGACCUGUUAGAUCAGAAAAGGGACCCAAAAGAAAUUUCAAGGGACCACAAGUGUUUUGUUUUUAGUAUCAAUUCUAACUUUAUUCAUUUAUUUACCACUUACACAUAAUGACACAUUUCGACGUAAGUUUUCUGAAGUUUUAUGAUCCAAACUAUCUCCUUCCCUCCUUCUCACUCCCCUCCCAGAGCUGGUAUGAAGUUCUAUGUGGGUUAUACAUGUAUUAUCACACAAAACACAUUCCAUAGUGUUCAUUUUUCUAAAUGAAUAAUCUUAUAAAAUCAACUCCCCCAACAUAAACCUAAAUAAACAGUUGGAAACCGG